Molecule: ribosomal RNA, 301 nt
Filed under: uncultured bacterium
Lineage: Bacteria
Description: partial 16S ribosomal RNA
Rfam family: Bacterial small subunit ribosomal RNA
Source: RNAcentral
CAGCAGCCGCGGUAAUACGAGGGGGGCAAGCGUUGUUCGGAAUUAUUGGGCGUAAAGGGUGCGUAGGCGGCUUGACAAGUCUUGUGUGAAAUCUAUGGGCUCAACCCAUAGUCUGCACGGGAAACUGUCGGGCUUGAGAAUGGGAGAGGUGAGUGGAAUUUCCGGUGUAGCGGUGAAAUGCGUAGAUAUCGGAAGGAACACCUGUGGCGAAAGCGGCUCACUGGACCAUUUCUGACGCUGAUGCACGAAAGCUAGGGGAGCAAACAGGAUUAGAUACCCGCGUAGUCCCUGUCUCUUAUAC